Molecule: ribosomal RNA, 475 nt
Filed under: Neisseria mucosa
Lineage: Bacteria; Pseudomonadati; Pseudomonadota; Betaproteobacteria; Neisseriales; Neisseriaceae
Description: bacterial SSU rRNA
Rfam family: Bacterial small subunit ribosomal RNA
Source: RNAcentral
AUUGAACGCUGGCGGCAUGCUUUACACAUGCAAGUCGGACGGCAGCACAGAGAAGCUUGCUUCUUGGGUGGCGAGUGGCGAACGGGUGAGUAAUAUAUCGGAACGUACCGAGCAGUGGGGGAUAACUAAUCGAAAGAUUAGCUAAUACCGCAUAUAUUCUGAGGAAGAAAGCAGGGGACCAUUUGGCCUUGCGCUGUCUGAGCGGCCGAUAUCUGAUUAGCUAGUUGGUGGGGUAAAGGCCUACCAAGGCGACGAUCAGUAGCGGGUCUGAGAGGAUGAUCCGCCACACUGGGACUGAGACACGGCCCAGACUCCUACGGGAGGCAGCAGUGGGGAAUUUUGGACAAUGGGCGCAAGCCUGAUCCAGCCAUGCCGCGUGUCUGAAGAAGGCCUUCGGGUUGUAAAGGACUUUUGUCAGGGAAGAAAAGGGCGGGGUUAAUACCCCUGUCUGAUGACGUACCUGAAGAUAGCCCCG